GGAAUAGCGCCAACGCAUGAGUUAUCUGCUCUGCCAGACAUACGUUGUCCAUAGAGGCCCGAGAAGCACGUUGCUCCAAGGAAGGGGAACGCAAGCUACCAGGCCAACAUAGAGAAGAUUGACUAUGAGGACCAGAAGGUUCUGAUCCACUACCGUCAGUGGAGCCACCGCUAUGACGAGUGGUUUGGCUGGACCAGCCCCUACCUGAGACCCCUGGAGCGGAUCCACCUGAGGAGAGAGGGUCUGCAGGACAACCAGCCCAGGCCCACCCCGCUUCCUAUACUGUGAAGUUUUUCGAUGGAGUGGUCAAGACAGUUAAGCCAACCAAAGUAAAGCCAUAUAAGCCAGAGAAAGUCAACACGAACUGAGGAAGAGGAGGGUGUCUCUUGGACAGAUGCCACCACCAAAGAAGAAAAGGCCAGACACAAGCAAAG
This is a non-coding RNA of Salmo salar (Atlantic salmon), 434 nucleotides long. The record is from RefSeq and is a predicted model, not a curated record. NCBI's taxonomy places the organism in Eukaryota, Metazoa, Chordata, Actinopteri, Salmoniformes, Salmonidae.